AAAGUCGUAACAAGGUUUCCGUAGGUGAACCUGCGGAAGGAUCAUUACUGAAAGGGGACUCCGGUCCCCGGGACAAGCCCCCGUCGAGCCCUUGGGCUCCCCGGGCGGUGACACCCCUUACCCUUUGUUUACCCUACCUCUGUUGCUUUGGCAAGGUCCUCGCCCGGGUGGUUCCAGGCUUGGGCUCUGCCAGAGGGCCCCAACUCGUGGAUAGUUUUUGUUUGUCUGAGUACGAUAUAAUCGUUUACAACUUUUAACAAUGGAUCUCUUGGCUCUG
Molecule: unclassified non-coding RNA, 277 nt
Filed under: Ascomycota sp.
Lineage: Eukaryota; Fungi; Ascomycota
Description: partial contains small subunit ribosomal RNA, internal transcribed spacer 1, and 5.8S ribosomal RNA
Rfam family: Eukaryotic small subunit ribosomal RNA (bases 1-47)
Source: RNAcentral